GACGAACGCUGGCGGCGUGCCUAAUACAUGCAAGUAGAACGCUGAAGAGAGGAGCUUGCUCUUCUUGGAUGAGUUGCGAACGGGUGAGUAACGCGUAGGUAACCUGCCUUGUAGCGGGGGAUAACUAUUGGAAACGAUAGCUAAUACCGCAUAACAAUGGAUGACACAUGUCAUUUAUUUGAAAGGGGCAAUUGCUCCACUACAAGAUGGACCUGCGUUGUAUUAGCUAGUAGGUGAGGUAAUGGCUCACCUAGGCGACGAUACAUAGCCGACCUGAGAGGGUGGUCGGCCACACUGGGACUGAGACCCGGCCCAGGCUCCUUCGGGGGGCAGCAGUAGGGGAUCUUCGGCCAUGGGGGCAACCCUGACCGAACAACGCCGCGUGAGUGGAGAAGGUUUUCGGGUCGUUAAGCUCUGUUGUAAGUCAAGAACGGGUGUGAGAGUGGAAAGUUCACACUGUGACGGUAGCUUACCAGAAAGGGACGGCUAACUACGUG
This 497-nucleotide ribosomal RNA is filed under the name uncultured bacterium. RNAcentral's name for it is "partial 16S ribosomal RNA". It matches the Rfam family "Bacterial small subunit ribosomal RNA", at positions 28 to 507 of the family's 1533-position model. The record is from RNAcentral.